CUACGGGGGGCUGCAGUGGGGAAUUUUGGACAAUGGGGGCAACCCUGAUCCAGCCAUGCCGCGUGAGUGAAGAAGGCCUUCGGGUUGUAAAGCUCUUUCAGCCGGGAAGAAAUCGCAUGGGUUAAUACCCUGUGCGGAUGACGGUACCGGAAUAAGAAGCACCGGCAACUACGUGCCAGCAGCCGCGGUAAUACGUAGGGUGCGAGCGUUAAUCGGAAUUACUGGGCGUAAAGCGUGCGCAGGCGGAUGCUUAAGUCAGAUGUGAAAUCCCCGGGCUUAACCUGGGAAUUGCAUUUGAAACUGGGUGUAUAGAGUGCGUCAGAGGGGGGUGGAAUUCCACGUGUAGCAGUGAAAUGCGUAGAUAUGUGGAGGAACACCAAUGGCGAAGGCAGCCCCCUGGGAUGACACUGACGCUCAUGCACGAAAGCGUGGGGAGCAAACAGGAUUAGAUACCCCCGUAGUC
RNAcentral lists this ribosomal RNA (463 nucleotides) under uncultured bacterium. RNAcentral's name for it is "partial 16S ribosomal RNA". It matches the Rfam family "Bacterial small subunit ribosomal RNA", at positions 339 to 795 of the family's 1533-position model. The record is from RNAcentral.